UAGAUUUGGUAACUUUUUUUUUUAAGCUGUGUAACUGCGGACAUAAUUGUUCUAGUGCAUAAUGUAUUACUGGAAUGUCAGAAAGUAGGUAUCAAAAAUGUGACAUGUAAGUAAGUAAAGGUCAAAUAUCGAAAAUGUGAUGGUUUUGUGGUAAUCUGGUGAAUUUAUUUUUGAACCAAGGAGAAAAUCGCAUCCCUCUAAAAGCCCAAAGAGCAACCCGCAUGUAAAAUUGUGAAUCUUUUCCCUUCACUAGUUUUUUUAGGAGGACAAGCUUUGAUGUCAUCAUCAUGGAUCCACAAUUUCACCAUGGAUCCGUUCUGGUAUAUCCAUGUCUCAUCCAAGAAAAUGAAAAGUAAAUCUUCACCAUAAUCACGCAAUUGGAGAUAGGUACCGCCUUAGAAAUUUGAUUCUGGCAGCUAUAACGUGGUUAAAAUGUGAAAAACUUCGCCUUCGGAAACCUAAAUUUAUACGUGUAUUACGUACAAUUAUUUUCAAAGCCGAGUGUUUUACCUCUUACAAAACAAUAACGAUUAUAUAAAACUUAAAAACCAAUUGUAGAACGGAACCAACAAAGCAUGUAGGUAUAUAAAUCUGCGCAGUCAUCUUUCUGAUUCUGAUUAUAAUAUUAACGGCACAAGCGCCGCUGUAUCUGUAUUAUUUUAAAACUCGAAAAACACUCGACAACACUACCGAACUUUACGGAGAAUAUUUCUGCCACCAGUUUAACUGUUUCAGUUUUACCCAAUUUUUUGAAAACCACGAAAUAUUUCUUGUUUCUUUUCCUUUAAAAUGAGCUUUCUCGUGAUUACUUUUAUGGAAAUUGUUUCCAUGCUGUAUGUAAGGAUUUUCUUGAAACGAAGCGUGUUGAAAUUAGAAAAACUUCGUUUUUUUUCCACACAAUUCAGAUUUGACAUUUGAAUUAGAACAUUAGACAGUUGAUGCCAAUCUUAAAUUUCUAGUGAUCUUAAGGUUGCAACUUAACCACAGAAAAGUUUCUGUCAGUUACUUCUACCGAACGUGAAUGCUUAUUAUAUUUAAUUUUCCUUAUUUUUUGCCAAUACAUUCAAUCACUUUUUGGUUUACUGUUCUUGAAGGGGCAGCUAGUUGCAGCCAAAUCUUACCAUAUUUGAAAGAUAAUAAGCUAAUCUUUUACUUCCGAAUUCAAUCUUUAUGGUAUAUGGUGGUAUAUGCUACUUUUCGACUCGAUGAAUUAAUAAAUUAAUAAAAAAAUGCGCAAUUGUUGCAUCACCAAUUUCAUUUAAAUAAUUCUUUCUGAUGGCUCAUUCUUAGAACUUUAAAAUAUAUAAAAAAUAAUCUACAUACCUGAUGGAGUUGGUUCCAUAACGCCAAAACAGUAUCAAACUACUUAGAACACCUUUUAUGAAAACAAAGUCACAAUGCGCAAACUUUUGCGCACGAACACUCUCGAGAAACGCUAAACGACAACUACAAUUUUGAGGGUAAUAAACGAUUAUUAAACGAUUUGCCUAUUGUUAUGAGGUAGCCUAAACAUCCUUCUAUCUGACUCUUUAGUACAAAUUCUUAGAAUCGCUUGUUCGGUGUUUCCUAUUUUGGCCGAGUUUUCCCAACUUGGGACCUGUGUGCGCGGUUAACAUAAUGCGGAAUUAAGUAACCCAGUGACUUCUGAUUACAUUUUGGGCCACUAAUAAACGUAGUACUGUACUGUACAUCAGGAAUUAGCUUGGCCUCUUUUAUUAACACACUAUGGAGCGGGAAAAAGAAUUAAAAUACAGAAAUUACAAAUUUCUAUUUAGAAAAAAAAACAAAAUUAAAAUUAAAAAAAAUUAAAAUAAAAAAAAAACAAAAUUAAAAUAAAAAGAAUUACAAUUAAAAAAUAACAAAAUUAAAAUAAAAAAAAUUAUAAUUAAAAAAACAAAAUUAUAAUAAAAAAAAUUACAAUUAAAACUAACAAAAAAUUAAUUAAAAGUUAAAAGCGAACAACUACGGUGGUCGUCGUUGCCGUCGCCUCUAUAGCAACGACGACCCCGUUUGAUAACGUCAAAAUUGGCUGCGUUGUCGGUAAAUCCGCAGCGCCGACUUCAAACAAAAAUUAAUUGCCCGGGAGCGACUCCGGGCACAGGAUCUAUAAUUACGUUGACCUUAUGAGCUGCAAAGAAAACAAGAACAAAUAAGAGAAAACCAAAUUUAGAAAAUCAGAGAAAAAGAAAGAAAAAACGGGGAUGAGGAGAAAUGCAGAAAAUCACUUACGAUCUACACGUCCUGGUUGGGGACGGGCAGUUUCCCGUUCGUCAGCUGCAAACAAAAAAAUUGAUCGAAGGUUAUUUCAGCAGAACAUUUCUCGCUCCCUCGAAAAAUUAUAAUUAAAUCUAACAAAAAAUUAAUUAAAAGCUAAAAGCGAACAACUACGGUGGUCGUCGUUGCCGUCGCCUCUAUGGCAAGGACGACCUCGUUUGAUAACGUCAAAAUUGGCUGCGUUGUCGGUAAAUCCGCAGCGCCGACUUCAAAAAUUAAUUGCCCGGGAGCGACUCCGGGCACAGGAUCUAUAAUUACGUGGGCCUUAUGAGCUGCAAAGAAAACAAGAACAAAUAAGAGCAAACCAAAUUUAGAAAAUCAGAGAAAAAGAAAGAAAAAACGGGGAUGAGGAGAAAUGCAGAAAAUCACUUACGAUCUACACGUUCUGGUUGGGGACGGGCAGUUUCCCGUUCGUCAGCUGCAAACAAAAAAAUUAAUCGAAGGUUAUUUCAGCAGAACAUUUCUCGCUCCCUCGAAAAAUUAUAAUUAAAUCUAACAAAAAAUUAAUUAAAAGUUAAAAGCGAACAACUACGGUGGUCGUCGUUGCCGUCGCCUCUAUGGCAAAGACGACCUCGUUUGAUAACGUCAAAAUUGGCUGCGUUGUCGGUAAAUCCGCAGCGCCGACUUCAAAAAUUAAUUGCCCGGGAGCGACUCCGGGCACAGGAUCUAUUAUAAUUACGUGGACCUUAUGAGCUGCAAUGAAAACAAGAACAAAUAAGAGAAAACCAAAUUUAGAAAAUCAGAGAAAAAGAAAGAAAAAACGGGGAUGAGGAGAAAUGCAGAAAAUCACUUACGAUCUACACGUCCUGGUUGGGGACGGGCAGUUUCCCGUUCGUCAGCUGCAAACAAAAAAAUUGAUCGAAGGUUAUUUCAGCAGAACAUUUCUUGCUCCUUCGAAAAAUUAUAAUUAAAACUAACAAAAAAUUAAUUAAAAGUUAAAAGCGAACAACUACGGUGGUCGUCGUUGCCGUCGCCUCAAUGGCAAGGACGACCUCGUUUGAUAACGUCAAAAUUGGCUGCGUUGUCGGUAAAUCCGCAGCGCCGACUUCAAAAAUUAAUUGCCCGGGAGCGACUCCGGGCACAGGAUCUAUAAUUACGUGGACCUUAUGAGCUGCAAAGAAAACAAGAACAAAUAAGAGCAAACCAAAUUUAGAAAAUCAGAGAAAAAGAAAGAAAAAACGGGGAUGAGGAGAAAUGCAGAAAAUCACUUACGAUCUACACGUUCUGGUUGGGGACGGGCAGUUUCCCGUUCGUCAGCUGCAAACAAAAAAAUUGAUCGAAGGUUAUUUCAGCAGAACAUUUCUUGCUCCUUCGAAAAAUAAUAAUUAAAACUAACAAAAAAUUAAUUAAAAGUUAAAAGCGAACAACUACGGUGGUGGUCGUUGCCGUCGCCUCUAUGGCAAGGACGAACUCGUUUGAUAACGUCAAAAUUGGCUGCGUUGUCGGUAAUGGAAUUCGAAUACUUUUACCUAUAUACCACAUCUCAAUGAGAUUUUAUACACCGUUCUGGAAAUAACUAUUUAGCUAUAUUCAUACCCACUUUUAAACAACCUGUAGAUAUAUGCGUAUUUGUGGUCUUCAAAUAGUUUGUCACAAGAGUUUAUAACGAACAAAUCGAUGUUUAAUAUAAGCAUUUUAAAGACAAUUAACUUAAUGCGGAAUUAAGUAACCCAGUGACUACUGAUUACACUUUGGGCCACUAAUAAACGUAGCACUGCACUUUACUGUGCAUCAGGAAUUAGCUUGGCCUAUUUUAUUAACAUACUGUGGAGUAGGAAAAAGAAUUAAAAUACAAACAUGACAAAUUUAUAGUAAGUUGAAAUUAAAAAAAAAAACCAAACUAAAAUUAAAAAAAUACAAAAUUAAAAUAAACACAAACUUAAAAUUAAAAAAAAAAAAAACAAUUAAGCUAUAACCUAAUGAUCACGGUCGUCGCCGUUGCUGUUCCCUGAAACGCAACGACGACACCGUUUCCCAGUGUCAAAAUCGCCUCCCGCGUAGGGAGGUACGUCGGGCCUACCUCCAAUGAAAUGGGCCCGGGAGAGACCCCGGGCACAGGAUCUACUAUGACCCGCACCUGAUGAGCUGCAAAGAAAAUAAGAAAAAAUUAUAGAAAACCAAAAAUUUAGAAAAUCAGAGAAGAAGAAAGAAAAAAAGGGGGUGAGGAGAAAUGCAGAAACAUCACUUACGAUCGACACGUCCGGGUGCCGGCCGCGUCUCGGCUAGGUUGGUUGGCAUUGGCAGUUUGUCUGCUGCAAACAAAAAAAAUUAUUGAAGGUUAUUUCAGCAGAACAUUUCUCGCUCCUUCGAAAAAUUAUAAUUAAAACUAAUAAAAAAUUAAUUAAAAGUUAAAAGCGAACAACUACGGUGGUCGUCGUUGCCGUCGCCUCUAUGGCAAGGACGACCUCGUUUGAUAACGUCAAAAUUGGCUGCGUUGUCGGUAAAUCCGCAGCGCCGACUUCAAAAAUUAAUUGCCCGGGAGCGACUCCGGGCACAGGAUCUAUUAUAAUUACGUGGACCUUAUGAGCUGCAAUGAAAACAAGAACAAAUAAGAGAAAACCAAAUUUAGAAAAUCAGAGAAAAAGAAAGAAAAAACGGGGAUGAGGAGAAAUGCAGAAAAUCACUUACGAUCUACACGUUCUGGUUGGGGACGGGCAGUUUCCCGUUCGUCAGCUGCAAACAAAAAAAUUGAUCGAAGGUUAUUUCAGCAGAACAUUUCUUGCUCCUUCGAAAAAUUAUAAUUAAAACUAACAAAAAAUUAAUUAAAAGUUAAAAGCGAACAACUACGGUGGUGGUCGUUGCCGUCGCCUCUAUGGCAAGGACGAACUCGUUUGAUAACGUCAAAAUUGGCUGCGUUGUCGGUAAUGGAAUUCGAAUACUUUUACCUAGAUACCACAUCUCAAUGAGUUUUUAUACACCGUUCUGGAAAUAACUACAGGGUUAUCAUAAAUGAUUGUAGUCGAAGUAGGCGUUGACGCAAUUGUUUUGAUGUGCCGCUUCUCACUUUCAAAAAAUUAUUAAUUAAAGUCCACUAAAGUUAUGGGGAAUUUUUGUUUUGCUUUGCUGUCAGAAGAAUGUCAUACUGGUCAUAUGUCAUAAUACUUUCCCGCGCACGUCUUGUUUACUUGUGUUGUUGUUCCAGUCUUCUUUGUUAUAAAUUAAAUUGAAUUAAACCAGUUUUUAUCAAAACUACAACGAUUGAAAACAGCGAUUAAGGUAACUAGAAAUGAAUUAAUGUGUAUUCAUAUUUCAAAUAAAUCUGUUUUAGGUUAAGAUGGGGUACACUCUUGAACAAAAUACGUUUAUUGUUGUCUUACUAUCGAAAUGGGACGUUAAAUGCGGACGGGGAAUGGGUGUAUUCUGUUCAAGCUUGCAAGGAUGAGUAUUUGGCAAAAUUUCCAGAAUUAAACAUUGAAGAACAGUUUUUGAUGACACACAUAAAAAGAAUCGUUGACCGAUUCAACAGCACUGGAAAUGUUUCUAAAGGCAAGUCACCAGGAAGGCCUCCAGUUAGUGAAGAGGUCGUCGAAGAUUUGAGGGAAUGAAUGGAGCAAAGCCCAAAAAAAUCUUUAAGUAAACUGUCUUUGCAAUCUGGUGUCCCAUAACACCACUUGUCAGAAAGUUUUAAAAAGAACAUUACAUAUGCAUCCCUAUAAAGUAUCGUCAGUCCAUGAACUUAAACCAGCUGAUUAUCCUCGUCAUGUUGUAUAUUGUGAAUGGUUUCAAAACAACAUGAACAACAACAGAAUUUUGGAUUUGUCAUUUUUUUCCGAUGAAGCAUGGUUUCAUCUAAAUGGCUACGUUAAUUCGCAAAAUUAUAGAGUUUGGAGUGCUGAAAAUCCUUUUGUUUUUGAAAAGAAGAAUUCCUUGAGUACCCAGAGCAGUGAUUAUACUGUACCAAAAAAAUUUUGUGAUGCCUCAAAUUGUAGACGAGCAAGCAAAUGUGAAAGAUUGUUGUUCAUCUAGCUCGUUUUCCAGACUUCAUUGGCGCCUUGGACUGCAUAUGCACAUAUAAAAAUUAAAUUACCAGUUAUAGGUGGAGAAGAUCCAGAAAUUUUUAGAAAUCAGGAAGAUUAUCUCUUGAUUAAUGUACAAGCCAUAUGUGAUGAAAUGAUUAAAUUUCAAAUAUUGUGGCACAAUGAUCAGUAGCUACAAAUGAUUGUACUAUUUUUAAUCAUUGUUCAGUUUAAGAUCUGUUUGAAAAUACACAACUGCAAAGUUGUGUGCUCUUGGAUAGAAUAUUUUAAGAGAAUUUUAUUAUAUUAUUAUAUUUCUAAGUAACAAGUUAUCCCUUAAAAAAAUACUUGUUGACACUGCUGAUAUAUCCCGUUACUCCAGUACAACAGCUCUGUUAUCAGUGACACAUUGGAGGCCGCAAUAGAAUUGGGUGCACAUUUGGGAUUCUGAAAUGACAGUUUCCUGUGUUAACAGUUGUGAUUGUCGCUGUUGUUUUACACAACAUUUUAAAACAGAUUGUAAUAUUUGACAGUAAAAAUUUAUUGGUAAUAAA
Zophobas morio is the source of this 6784-nucleotide long non-coding RNA. RefSeq lists it as uncharacterized. The record is from RefSeq and is a predicted model, not a curated record. Lineage: Eukaryota; Metazoa; Arthropoda; Insecta; Coleoptera; Tenebrionidae. The transcript is spliced from 3 exons.